CCUACGGGUGGCAGCAGUAGGGAAUCUUUCACAAUGGGCGAAAGCCUGACGGAGCAACGCCGCGUGCAGGAUGAAGGCCUUCGGGUUGUAAACUGCUUUUAUAAGCGAGAAAUAUGAUGGUAACUUAUGAAUAAGGAUCGGCUAACUACGUGCCAGCAGCCGCGGUCAUACGUAGGCUCCGAGCAUUAUCCGGAGUGACUGGGUGUAAAGAGUUGCGUAGGUGUCAUAAUAAGUAGCGAGUGAAAUCUGGUGGCUCAAACAUUCAGACUAUUAGCUAAACUGGUAAGCUCGAGACCGUUAGGGGUAACUGGAAUUUCUAGUGUAGGAGUGAAAUCCGUAGAUAUUAGAAGGAACACCGAUAGCGUAGGCAGGUUGCUGGGACGGUUCUGACACUAAGGCACGAAAGCGUAGGGAGCAAACGGGAUUAGAUACCCGAGUAGUC
RNAcentral lists this ribosomal RNA (442 nucleotides) under uncultured bacterium. Its description in RNAcentral is "partial 16S ribosomal RNA". It matches the Rfam family "Bacterial small subunit ribosomal RNA", at positions 338 to 795 of the family's 1533-position model. The record is from RNAcentral.